GGGAGUUGAAAACGAGAUGUGUGAAAAAAUGGCCAUUAUUUCAAGGCAAAGAAAUCUGACUUUUUGCAUGAAGGAAAGAAAUCAGGUGGUAUAAUAUAAUUUGUCGCCGAAUGAUGGGUUGUUAAUGGGUGCGAGUCAUUGUAACACUGAUAAGGGGGUGGACAUAAUUAUGUGAACUAUGGAAUGAGAGCACUAGAAAUGAGAAUUUGAUGGAUGAAAGCUUGAGACAGGGUGUUUUUAAUCGUGAGAAAAGUGUUGUUAAAACAGGGAUAAUGCAUGUUGAUGAAAAAAUAGGAGUGCAGAGGAACAGAAUAUGGAGUGAAGUAGGAUUUCAGGGAGGGAACUGGAAAUCAAUUCCCCUGUCCACCAAAUAAUUGAAAGUCAUUAAAGAAAUAAGGGAGCGGGGGUCUGACAUGUAUGUAUACGUAAAAGGAUCAAUUAUGCAGGGAAUGCAGACCACAGAUUGGACUUAUUUGACAACUGAUAAAUAGAAAGACGAAUGUAAUAGUGCUA
This 513-nucleotide long non-coding RNA is filed under the name Mytilus galloprovincialis (Mediterranean mussel). Lineage: Eukaryota; Metazoa; Mollusca; Bivalvia; Mytilida; Mytilidae. The record is from RNAcentral.